ACUCAAAUGAAUUGACGGGGACCCGCACAAGCGGUGGAUGAUGUGGAUUAAUUCGAUGCAACGCGAAAAACCUUACCUACCCUUGACAUGGACAGAAUCCUGAAGAGAUUUAGGAGUGCUUGAAAGAGAGCUGUCACACAGGUGCUGCAUGGCUGUCGUCAGCUCGUGUCGUGAGAUGUUGGGUUAAGUCCCGCAACGAGCGCAACCCUUGUCAUUAGUUGCUACGAAAGGGCACUCUAAUGAGACUGCCGGUGACAAACCGGAGGAAGGUGGGGAUGACGUCAAGUCCUCAUGGCCCUUAUGGGUAGGGCUUCACACGUCAUACAAUGGUACAUACAGAGGGCCGCCAACCCGCGAGGGGGAGCUAAUCCCAGAAAGUGUAUCGUAGUCCGGAUUGGUGUCUGCAACUCGACACCAUGAAGUUGGAAUCGCUAGUAAUCGCGGAUCAGCAUGUCGCGGUGAAUACGUUCCCGGGUCUUGUACACACCGCCCGU
RNAcentral lists this ribosomal RNA (494 nucleotides) under uncultured bacterium. Its description in RNAcentral is "partial 16S ribosomal RNA". It matches the Rfam family "Bacterial small subunit ribosomal RNA", at positions 899 to 1397 of the family's 1533-position model. The record is from RNAcentral.